GUUUUUAUAGUUUAAUAUAAAACAUUGGUCUUGUAAACCAAAAUUAAGUAAUUACUUUAAAAUCA
This 65-nucleotide transfer RNA is filed under the name Pharmacophagus antenor. Its description in RNAcentral is "trnA-Thr". It matches the Rfam family "tRNA". Rfam says of the family: Transfer RNA (tRNA) molecules are approximately 80 nucleotides in length. Their secondary structure includes four short double-helical elements and three loops (D, anti-codon, and T loops). The record is from RNAcentral. Lineage: Eukaryota; Metazoa; Arthropoda; Insecta; Lepidoptera; Papilionidae.